UGAUAGACUUGUUUCUCUAUCUGGCGGUAUCCCAUGCCCCUUCUUUCCACUACCUUCUCUCUCUCUCCUUCUUUUGGACAAUAUUGCUCUGUUUCUUAUCCGGCUGUUCUGAGCCCUGCUACAAGAGGUUCUCUUCUUACCACGCAAGGAGCAUCGAUCCUCAGUCUCUCGCGUUCUCUGGGUUGCAGUGGUCCAACCGUUUGGUUCUCUUUCUCCUCCUCCAUUAAUGCAGCCAGUUGUUCUGUCUCUCUGGAACAAGUUUGUUGAGUCUAGAGGCAAGAUUCUUAUGCAACUGUUAAAAAAGAGGCCAGUUCUUAUUUGCCGCAGGCUCAAAGUUGUCUCUUAUAAUGGAAUUGCACUCUCCACUAGAAACGAUUCGGUGCUUCUCAUUGAUCCACCUGUUGGAGAUGCAAGCCAGUUGAAAAAUUGGGCAAUGAGGAAUGAGAGCCAGUUUGCUACGCUGGUUCAGGAAAAAACGUAUAACAUGCAUAGUCCAACGUAUAACAUGCAUAGUCCGAGUAUGUUUCAUCAGUCAAAACACAAGUUUUGUACGAUACAGGCUGUUCUAGCAAAUCAGAAGCUCUCGUGGGUGAAAGCUCGUUUCUGUUUCCAAAACAUAUUCCACAAAUAUUGGUAUAUGUCUUGUGUUAAGUGUCAUCGUCAGACAUCGGCCAAUUAUGGGCACACUUUUACCUGCAAUCACUGUAAUGAAAGGCAGACUGCGACCCUAAGGUGUCGCUUUGAUGUUGAUCUCAUUGAUGAUACCGGCGUUAUGACAGCCUCUGUAUUUGGUGAAUUAGCUGAACAAUUACUUGGAAUUUCUGCAGUUGCGGCAAUGGAUUUUUAUAACAGAACGAAGAAUUCCCACUCGAACUAACCCAUGACACAUUGAAGUCGAAGACAUUCAUUGCUCAAGUUAAGCCUAGAAACACCAAAGAUGAUGGGACUUAUCAGCGCUAUACGAUUGUUUAUUACUUUGAGGACAACAAAGACUAUGAACUUCUUGAGGAACAACCCCUGAGUAGUUCUCAGGUGGCCAGUCAGCUUUCUGUAGCUGAUACUCCAGAUUGUUGCUAAAUACUUAGCCGUAUACUUAUUUAAAUACUCAUGCACGAUUCUUUUUAUGAUAACUCUUUGAUUGGUUUAUUGCAUAGAAAAACCAUGCUUUUUUUCCAAGAACUAGCUCUGCUUUGAUAGGAAGCAAAAUGUUUCUGAAGCUGAAAGUCAAUCUUUUGCAGUUAACGUUUCAGAUAAGCCGUGUGGUUUCUCAAAGACACGCGUUUGCCUUGCAAAAAGAAUGGAGCUCAGCGAGGAAGCCGAAGGCACUAUAUCAGAAUCUUGUGAUAUUGCGAGCAGCAAAAAGCCAAGGAAUGCUUGAUCUGCUUGUCCUCAUCAGAAGAAAAUUCCCGGUUCUAUUUUCAAAUCAGCUUGCUUCAAAAACGGCCAAAUUAUGAAGUUAUUCCAUGGAAUCGCUGUUUGGCAUGUAACAAUCAAUGAUGGGUGCUUUGAACAAGGCUGGGAAUCCUAUAGCACAGAUAACCUGAUUCACAAAUAUGACUUGCUUUUCCUGCAAUGUAGAGGGAAUUUAGCUUGCGAUGCGCUGGCUUUUGGCACAACACAAAUCCUCACAUUGAUGCCAUGGACACUGCCUUUGCCAAUGGUGCCAAAUUAUCAAAAAAACCAACCAGGAAAUUAUUCUCUUCUGCAGUCUUUCUCCUUAUUUUGCUUUAUAGCAUUCAUGUUCGUUAAAGGCAAUUGAUUUUCAUGUAGAUUCUGCGGUUGUCGAAAACUCGAACCGUAUUACAUCAUCCAUACAUCCAUUCUUCGGCCAUAAUCUGGCGGCAUUUACUACUUUCUACCAAUUUUAUACUAGAUGCCAUAGAUACA
Molecule: non-coding RNA, 1887 nt
Organism: Coffea arabica (coffee)
Lineage: Eukaryota; Viridiplantae; Streptophyta; Magnoliopsida; Gentianales; Rubiaceae
Source: RefSeq, a predicted model, not a curated record